UACGGGGGGGGCAAGCGUUGUUCGGAAUUACUGGGCGUAAAGGGCUCGUAGGCGGCCAACUAAGUCGGAUGUGAAAUCCCCAGGCUUAACCUGGGAACUGCAUCCGAUACUGGAUGGCUUGAAUCCGGGAGAGGGAUGCGGAAUUCCUGGUGUAGCGGUGAAAUGCGCAGAUAUCAGGAGGAACACCGGUGGCGAAGGCGGAUCUCUGGGCCAUUACUGACGCUGAGGAGCGAAAGCGUGGGGAGCGAACAGG
RNAcentral lists this ribosomal RNA (253 nucleotides) under uncultured bacterium. RNAcentral's name for it is "partial 16S ribosomal RNA". It matches the Rfam family "Bacterial small subunit ribosomal RNA", at positions 524 to 776 of the family's 1533-position model. The record is from RNAcentral.